Molecule: long non-coding RNA, 288 nt
Filed under: Elaeis guineensis (African oil palm)
Lineage: Eukaryota; Viridiplantae; Streptophyta; Magnoliopsida; Arecales; Arecaceae
Description: long non-coding RNA (EGUI_LNC027586)
Source: RNAcentral
UACUUCAGUCACUUUCAGAACUCAAAUGCAAAUCAUCGAUGCAGAAGUUUCUUGCAAAACAACCAUUGUAUUUGUAUCACAAUAAAAAAACAAAAAAGCCACCAUUGUAUCAGGGACUGCCAUUUGGUGGCCUACUUUACUUUCUAACAAACUGGAUUAAAAUUUAUUUUGGGAGCUUGUCUUGUGAACUGAGUAAUUACAAUAAAAAUUCUAACAAUUUCUGGAUACGGCAUUUAAUCCUCUGAAAAUGUCUGUUGAAUGGGAAUAUGGAUGUCAAUAGCACAUACC